Molecule: ribosomal RNA, 164 nt
Filed under: uncultured bacterium
Lineage: Bacteria
Description: partial 16S ribosomal RNA
Rfam family: Bacterial small subunit ribosomal RNA
Source: RNAcentral
UAGGGAAUCUUCCACAAUGGGCGAAAGCCUGAUGGAGCAACGCCGCGUGUGUGAUGAAGGGUUUCGGCUCGUAAAACACUGUUGUAAGAGAAGAAUGACAUUGAGAGUAACUGUUCAAUGUGUGACGGUAUCUUACCAGAAAGGAACGGCUAAAUACGCGCCAG